UCUCUCUAAUUAAACAGUAUGUAUCUGUCUAUACAUUAAUGCUUGCAUCGCUAAUAUGAAUCUUUUCUUUAUAGAUUCUUCCAAUUCAACCAUCAACGCACCGAAUAAACAACACACCGACCUCUUCAUCAGGGACCUCUCUCUAAUUACAGAGUAUGUAUAUGUCUAUAUAACGAAAGCAAUGCCUGCAUCGCUAACAUGAAUCUUUUCUUUACAGAUUCUCCCAAUUCAACCAUCAACGCACCGAAUAAACAACACACCGACCUCUUCAUCAGGGACCUCUCUCUAAUUACAGAGUAUGUAUAUGUCUAUAUAACGAAAGCAAUGCCUGCAUCGCUAACAUGAAUCUUUUCUUUACAGAUUCUCCCAAUUCAACCAUCAACGCACCGAAUAAACAACACACCGACCUCUUCAUCAGGGACCUCUCUCUAAUUACAGAAUUCUUCCAAUUCAACCAUCAGCGCACCGAAUAAACAACACACCGACCUCUUCAUCAGGGACCUCUCUCUAAUUAUAAAAUUCUUCCAAUUCAACCAUCAGCGCACCGAAUAAACAACACACCGACCUCUUCAUCAGGGACCUCUCUCUAAUUAUAAAAUUCUUCCAAUUCAACCAUCAACGCACCGAAUAAACAAC
Ctenocephalides felis (cat flea) is the source of this 636-nucleotide long non-coding RNA. RefSeq lists it as uncharacterized. The record is from RefSeq and is a predicted model, not a curated record. The transcript is spliced from 4 exons. NCBI's taxonomy places the organism in Eukaryota, Metazoa, Arthropoda, Insecta, Siphonaptera, Pulicidae.